AGGGAGGCCUGGUGAGUCAAAGUUGUCUGAGAGACACAAACAAGGGCAGGUGGGAGCUGCCUGAAGGAGAAAGCAAAAAUCCAGAAGGAAGUAGCAGCAGCAGAGGAGAGUUGGUAUAGACAGCCACUGGAGAGACCAAAAAGGUUGAUGAGGCACCACAAAACUGGUAUUCUGCCAGCUAUGUAAUUAAAUACCGUGAAAGGACCAGGUGUGGCUCCUUGAGGCACUGAAAUAGACUGGGUUGCAUGGUUUUUAGCACACUUUCUGAGGAUUCAGAAUUUCCCAAAGAGAUAGCAUCGGUUGAGAGAACACAAAAACUAGUUGUUUGCUACUGUUACUGCCAUCCUGGACAAGAAGUGGGCCAGGAAAGACAAAUACCAGAUGUAAAAGCUGCAACUAGCACUGCUGCAGGGCAACAAGGCAGAAGCACAAAGACAUAGCAGCUGGCACAAGACCUAAUCCAAGUCUCAUUGGAGCAUCACAGUGUGGUGUGGGCUGAAAAGAACAAGGAACUAUGUAGGCAUUUGGAGAUGUGUUCUUUGAGUUCAUAAUCAUCAUCAUCAUCAUCAUCAUUAUAACAACUGUAUGCAAGUUCCAGAAAUGCUUUUAGCUGAGUUGGCAAUUAUGCAGCACUUGUAAUCAUAUAUGCAAGAAAAUCUUGUAAACUUGCCACGCACAUCAGGCUUAAACUUGUGGCACCCAGCAAAAAACAGAGCUUGGUCAACUGGAAGUGGUACCCUACCUGCUAUUGCAGCUGCCAAUAUAAAUCCAUAAUUGUGAUAGUAACAGCAGCAGCAUUGCUCCUCCCUGUAAGUCCCAUUAUGACAUCCUUUCAUGCAAAGAUUAAGUAUAGACACUCUCUCAAAGAACUGUGCAGCAGACCACAAAGCUGAUGGGUGAGAUGAUGUCCCAACAGCCCUUUUCAUCAAUGGAGGACACUGGCUUUGGGCCGCUGAUGGACUAUUACGAGUUCCAAACCGAGAAUGGGAGUCCUUUUUCCUGAUCACUGGUGACUGAUAUUCAUGGGAGCGCCUAAACCUCUACACUUGGAGCUGGGUGUGUGAUACCCAGCUUGAGAAGACAUACUCAUGCUAGCUCUAAUUGAGCUAGUGUGUAAAAAGAGUAGAGUAGUCACAGUAGCAUGGGCAGCAACUUGGGCUAGCCACCUGAGUAUGUACCAUGUGGUCCAGCUGGGUUUGUACUUGGGAUGGCUAGCCCCUCCUCUCACACUCCACCACCUGUGCUAUAGUGGCUAUUCUCCUAUUUUUCAUAGGCUAGCUCCCCAUAGGCUAUAUUUUCAAAGACAGCUAGUGCCAGUAUGUUUCCUCGAGAUGGAAAUUACCGCCUUAACUCCAAGGGUAGACUGUCCCUCUUUUGGGCUGUCCUCAGGAUGAGUUCCAUACAUGCCUGCCUGUCGUGGCAGCUCACAGGAGCUGCCAGUUAAUUCUGUCACCUCUUCCUCCUCUGGUCUUUCCACCACCAGAAUCUAUUCAUCAGCCCUAAUCAGGAUUACAUGGCUAGAAGAUGGGCAAUUUAAGAUCAGUUUCUUUGUCACUGAUAAACAGUGUAAGUGAGAAGAGGAUUAGGAUUGAUAUAUGUACUUGCAGACAUUUCCACAGCUUGGCGAAAGCAAUUAACCAGCUACCGGUAGCUCAGGGUAACUUAGAUAUAUCCCAGUUGCACUCAUUACAGAAGAUGAGCAUAUUCUGAAAUGCUGUGUUGUAUUUGUUGCCUCAGCUGAUUAAGUAAAAGCAGGCUGUGGAACAUGACAUGGAGACAUAAAUACUUAGCAUGACACUAAGCUGCUGUCAGUAGUUAUCAGUGGAGCCUCCAGUCAGGGAUGAAUGAUGUGCUUGCAAACUCAGAUACUGCACAAUAUCAACAGUCUGUCUCAUCUCUUUGAGCAUAUCCUCCAAUGUUACAUGGUUCAUUUCCUGAAACUGGCCAAGAGGAAUUCAGAAGAGAUCCCAACUAAUAUUGUAUCUCUCUGUGUGUAGCCCCUCCCUGGAGGAGUGCCUCAAGCCUGCUCCCUAUUGCUUUCUAACUGGAGUGGCUUCUGUCCCCCACACCCCUUCUUCUUGCAUGGGUUGGGUCCUGGUUUCUUUAUUUCAGUGCCUCCACAUCUCUGUGCCUGGGACACAAAGAAGCUAUCCCUUUUGGAAAAUAACUCCUCCUCCUCCUCCUCCUCUAUUGACAAGGAAUAUAACCUAGUGAAUAUAUGUAUAUUAAUAUGUUAUUAUGUAUAACAUACAAAAUGCAACACAAUACAAUAAUAGAAACCCAAACAAAUGAAAUGCCACCCUCAAAAAGAACAAUAGAACACAGGGAACUUUGCUGAGGAACUAAAGGCUCUAGGGAAGGAAAGGAUUAAAAUUAACUGAAAUGCUAAAACAUCAACAAUAUAACAAAUUCCCAACCUCCCUGCAUUCAUCACUGACUGUACGCAACCCCCUAGCUACCUCCCUAGUACUGUUUCAGGCAGAUGGAACUUGAGGAUAAGUCCUGCAAUGAGUGCUGCAGCACUGUGAACAUUGGUUGCAUUAAACAAAAAGAAAGGGGUUAGGGUUCUUUCCUUGCUCCUGGGGUUGGAUUUCGGUGGAGGUCUUGGUUGGCUGUAGGUACCCAGCACUGCUUUAGUUCUCUGCAUCCCUGAUCUCUGGUCUCUGCAGGGCUGGCACUCCCAUAAACUUCACAAUAAUUCAAAAUCCCUCUUUGUGUGGGGACUGGGAGUUGAUUAGCAACUCCCCAGGGUCUUCCCCUCCUCUUCCAGCUCCAGACUCAAACAACCCAGUGUCAAACCAAAAUUAACCCUUUGGUCUCUGAGGAAGCUUAUCCAUGGCCACUGAGGGAAUUGAUCAGUCCUGGCUCCUCAUUGCCCAGCAAACUGUGUCUAAGUAACUCACUCCAUCCAAAUAUCCCCAUUGGUUUGGACAAGUUUCCAGUCUAUUCUGUCCCUGCCUAGGACCCUAAACCGGCAGGAAAUGGUGUUGGAAGGCUUUUGGAACUAUUGUUGCUGUAAUUCAGAGGCUCCUCUAGACCCUUAGAGGCUCAGCUCUGUGUUCCAGGAGCUUGCAAACUUCAACAGGGGUUGCGUGUAUAAGGCCAAACAUUCUUAAAACUCAGAGUGAUUUCAUUUUCUCUUUCUGGGUUUCCUAGGCACCCUCCCAGGCACAGGUCAGUUUUAAAGACUUUUGCAGCAGCCAUUUCCUAACAUAGUGAAAACACUAUCAAACGGCAAUACCUGCUUAAAUGAGUUGUGGUUUUUACUCUCCCUUUCAUGCUCACAGAAAGCAGUGAUUAAAAUUUUGAAACUUAGUAACUCUCUGGAGGAAAAAAAUGUAUUUGUAUAUGUUAUCUGCUCUGACUUGUUAUAUGUGUCAUGCUGCAUCAAAUUCUGUGUGUCGUCUGUCUGAAGGGACAGUCUGUAUGAGAAGUGACUGAUCUAGUGGAAAAUACAGCAUAAGUAAAAAAAUAUAUAGCUUUGGGAAUAUAUUUGUCUUUGGGUUAUACAACUUUUUAAAAGAAUGUAGUUUCUUAUGAUUUUUCUGAAAGUCAACUGCUACCAACAAACUACCCUGAGUUGCCUGUUCACCUGUGUCUUGGUAGUUUAAAAAACAAACAAACACAGCCACAUGGUUAAACCUGUCCACACUUAACUAGCAAUUUGUCAGUCAUUUUAUAUUCCCUACUAUAAUUUAUACUCAAUGAAUAAUUCAACUAACCCUACUUAAUUAUGAUAUUUAUAACAAAUAAAACAUAGGUUUUGUAUGUUUAUAACUUUAGAUUUUGGAUACAACUGUUCAUUCAUAUUCCCCAAACGUAGGCAGAUUCAUCUGCCUACAUGUGAACAAUCUUGUAUUUCGGGCUCAAAUUAGGCAAAUCAGUGGACAAUUAUACAAUUUGCAUGCACAUAUGAAUGGGCCAGUUUUCUGAACAUGCCAAUGAAUGAUGCACUGGCAAAUUUUGCAGGUGCAUUUGGGGAGAUCCAAUGAUGAUUUGGUCUUUAGUUCAUGCAUAAACUUUUAAUUCCUUAAUCAUCAAUCUUUUAAAAUUUAUUUUAAUGUAAUAUAACCUAUUGACAGUUGUUGGAGGUUAUAAAGACAUGAUAUAAGAGGUUUUGGAGGUAUGAUAUCCAGAGAGUAAGGACAGACCAGUAGCUAGGACAUUGACCUGGGACUUGGGGGAUCCAGGUUCCAUCAGCUUCUCCACCACUUACUUCCUGUGUGACUUUGGGCAAGUCACUUAGUCUCUCUGUUCCAUAUCUGUAAAAUGUGCGAAUUGGUACUUCACGAGAGUGCUGUUAGGCUCAUAGGGUACUAUGGUAAUGGAGGCUAUAUAAGUAUUUAAGACUGAUAGAUAUCUGUGUGACAUUGCACUCUAUAUGAUUUUAUGAAAAUAUGCUAAUGAGUGUGAAUAUAAUGUAACUGGAAUAUGCUUCAUGCAAAAGGUCUCUUGUAAGGUAUCUUACAAAGCU
Molecule: long non-coding RNA, 4474 nt
Organism: Chrysemys picta bellii (western painted turtle)
Lineage: Eukaryota; Metazoa; Chordata; Testudines; Emydidae
Source: RefSeq, a predicted model, not a curated record